AACGAACGCUGGCGGCAUGCCUAACACAUGCAAGUCGAACGAGACCUUCGGGUCUAGUGGCGCACGGGUGCGUAACGCGUGGGAACCUGCCCUUAGGUUCGGAAUAACUCCCCGAAAGGGGUGCUAAUACCGGAUAAUGUCUUCGGACCAAAGAUUUAUCGCCUUUGGAUGGGCCCGCGUUGGAUUAGCUAGUUGGUAGGGUAAAAGCCUACCAAGGCGACGAUACAUAGCUGGUCUGAGAGGAUGAUCAGCCACACUGGGACUGGGACACGGCCCAGACUCCUACGGGAGGCAGCAGUGGGGAAUAUUGGACAAUGGGCGAAAGCCUGAUCCAGCAAUGCCGCGUGAGUGAUGAAGGCCUUAGGGUUGUAAAGCUCUUUUACCCGGGAUGAUAAUGACAGUACCGGGAGAAUAAGCGCCGGCUAACUCCGUG
Molecule: ribosomal RNA, 433 nt
Filed under: uncultured bacterium
Lineage: Bacteria
Description: partial 16S ribosomal RNA
Rfam family: Bacterial small subunit ribosomal RNA
Source: RNAcentral